UCAGGCUCCAAGCUAGCCAUGGAGCCCUCCGGCAGUCAGAGCGGGACUGGCGCGGCUUCUGCACCCGCGGACUCAGCGUCGGCCUCGGUGACCCUGGCGCAGCUCCUGCAACUGGUCCAGCAGGGCCGGGGACUCCCCGGCCUGGAGAGGCGCCACGUCGUGGCGACCCUCGGCGAACCCACGGCGUCCCGGCUCCCGCGGAGGCCCAAGCCCUGGGAGGCCUCGGGCUCCGCCGACGCCCCCGCGCCGCCCUUCCAGACCCGGGGCCACAGGCCCGACGACCCUCCCUAUGGGCAGAGGACCCUCCUGGAAGAACCUGGCUCCGGGGAGGCUGCGACAGCGCCUUCCUAGAUGGAACAUAGUGGGUUCCUGAGGCUCGAGGUCCUUUGCAACUGUGAAUGAAAAAUGUUGCUGCCCUAUCAGCAAAGGACGCUGCAGCCAUCUAGCCAUCAGCCAGUACUGCGGCCCCGUCGGUGAGCCGUAGGGAACCCAGGAUGGAGACAAAUGGGCUGCCGCUGCCAAGCCCUUAGCCACUGCAGACACUGUCAACGGCGCACCCUGAGGGGGCUCAAGAUGGGAAAGAACAGGAUACUGGCCUUGGAUAGCUAAGGCGCAUAUCAAAGGCAAAGUUCAACAGUUUUGGUGACCAUGGAGGGAACCAGAGCAAACUUCUCCUCUUCGCCUGAACUCUACGAGGAACCGGACACUUGGUACUGGAAGAGGCCUCUUGUGCCCAUCCGCCUCCUUGGAGAGUUCAUACGAACUUGGAUCGACUGAUUAAAAUUUUUCAUCGACAUGCUUGGUGUAGUCAGCAGGAUAUCAGAGACUCCUGCCAGAGGCCACCGGGAGUCUAUGCAGAACAAGUGCUCCGUGCCAGCAUGGGCCCAUUGAGCCCCACCUGCUUCUCAGCACUCCCCAGGUGUUUUUGAGCACAGGCUCCAGACGCGCAGGUUCAGUAGUUGUGGCUCACGGGCCCAACUGCUCCGCGGCAUGUGGGAUCUUCCCAGACCAGGGCUCGGACCCGUGUCCCCUGCAUUGGCAGGCAGAUUCUCAACCACUGCGCCACCAGGGAAGCCCUGAACAAAACUUUUGCUAGUGAAAUCAGAGACUGAAUUAUUCAGCGCCAAAGAAUAAAGGGACAUUUUGCUCCUUCCAGCCACAAGCCAUCCUCAGAUGACUGAGGAUCUUUGGGAAGUGUCUGAGGAUCAAUUUUCAUGACGUGUAGCGGUUCCAUAGGGAAAUCCCAUUACAGUCAUUAAGUAAGUACUGCUCAUCCAGGCGGCGUGACAGAGGCUGAUCACCUAGUGUUCCGAGCACCCAAGAUGGUUUUAGGCUGUCAUUGCGAGAAACUGAGCCACCUAAAAGAAGUCGAACCAGGGAAUUCUCUGGUAGUCCAGUGGUUAGGACUCUGUGCUUUCACUGCCGGAGGCCCAGGUUCAAUCCCUGGUCAGGGAACUAAGAUCCAGCAAGCCACAUGGUGCAGCCAGAAAGAAAAGGUUAGUAUCUGCAGAUUUUGGUAACUUGAAACUAAACCAAGGUAAAUUACGAGAAUUCAUUCACUAUCCGGGUCAUUUCAAACAGGAUAAAAUUCUGGAACAUUAAUUGCUGGGGAGGUCUAAGUUCUUAGAAGAGGAAAACUAAAGCAUAAGCAUAAGUUUGUCAAUCAGGAAAUGCUGAUAUGACAAACAGCAUUCUUAUUUUUUUUGGCUACACCAUGUGCGGCAUGCAGGAUCUUAGUUCCCUGACCAGGGAUUGAACUCGUGGCCCCUGCAGUGGAAGCUCAGAGUCCUAACCACUGGACCACCAGGGAAUUCCAGAAAAAAAUUAAGGUUUUAAGGUUAAGAAUUAUAAGGGAAACAUUUCAGUAUGCAAGGAAGUAGGAUGUGUGUUUUCAGCAAAGAAGGUAUGAGGAUUGAAAAUGCAUUUGGUUAAAGGAAAAAAGGUUUUGUCCUAGACCUGGUUGUUUCUGAAUAGAUACAGAAAGUUGUGGAAAGUUUGUGGAAAAGGAACAGUGUGAGAGUUUUGUGCAUGGUCAAAAUUGGCUGAGAUAAGAUUGAACUUAAUUAAGGAAAUGUUUUAAAGGUAAAGUGGUACAAAACCUGAAUUUGGUCCUCUCUCUAAGAGGACAAAGUUUUCUUAAAAUAUUGAACUGCUUU
RNA transcript from Balaenoptera ricei (Rice's whale), 2156 nucleotides. It is a transcript of the gene named chromosome 11 C6orf226 homolog, with no coding region annotated. Lineage: Eukaryota; Metazoa; Chordata; Mammalia; Artiodactyla; Balaenopteridae. The record is from RefSeq and is a predicted model, not a curated record. The transcript is spliced from 4 exons.